CCUACGGGAGGCUGCAGUGAGGAAUAUUGGUCAAUGGGCGGGAGCCUGAACCAGCCAAGUCGCGUGAGGGAAGACGGUCCUAUGGAUUGUAAACCUCUUUAGGCGGGGAGCAAUGCCGGGCACGCGUGCCCGGAGGGAGAGUACCCGCAGAAUAAGCAUCGGCUAACUCCGUGCCAGCAGCCGCGGUAAUACGGAGGAUGCGAGCGUUAUCCGGAUUUAUUGGGUUUAAAGGGUGCGUAGGCGGAUUUUUAAGUCAGCGGUAAAAGGUCCGGGCUCAACCCGGGCCGGCCGUUGAAACUGGGGAUCUUGAGUGGGAGAGAAGUAUGCGGAAUGCGUGGUGUAGCGGUGAAAUGCAUAGAUAUCACGCAGAACUCCGAUUGCGAAGGCAGCAUACCGGCGCCCGACUGACGCUGAGGCACGAAAGCGUGGGUAUCGAACAGGAUUAGAUACCCCAGUAGUC
Molecule: ribosomal RNA, 460 nt
Filed under: uncultured bacterium
Lineage: Bacteria
Description: partial 16S ribosomal RNA
Rfam family: Bacterial small subunit ribosomal RNA
Source: RNAcentral